This 450-nucleotide ribosomal RNA is filed under the name uncultured bacterium. RNAcentral's name for it is "partial 16S ribosomal RNA". It matches the Rfam family "Bacterial small subunit ribosomal RNA", at positions 354 to 796 of the family's 1533-position model. The record is from RNAcentral.
GUGGGGAAUCUUCCGCAAUGGACGAAAGUCUGACGGAGCGACGCCGCGUGAGUGAAGAAGGCCUUCGGGUCGUAAAGCUCUGUCAUCAGGGACGAACGGCCGGUGGAGUGGAAAGCCACCGGAUUGACGGUACCUGAGAAGGAAGCCACGGCUAACUACGUGCCAGCAGCCGCGGUAAUACGUAGGUGGCAAGCGUUGUCCGGAAUUAUUGGGCGUACAGCGCGCGCAGGUGGGAUCUUAAGUCCAUUUUGAAAGUUCGGAGCUCAACUCCGUGAUGGGAUGGAAACUGGGAUUCUUGAGUACCGGAGAGGAAAGCGGAAUUCGCCGUGUAGCGGUGAAAUGCGUAGAUAUGGGGAGUAACACCAGUGGCGAAGGCGGCUUUCUGGACGGUGUCUGACGCUGAGGCGCGAAAGCUAGGGGAGCGAACGGGAUUAGAAACCCCGGUAGUCC